UGAAAGCCCAUUAGCAACACGGCAGA
RNAcentral lists this non-coding RNA (26 nucleotides) under Mus musculus (house mouse). Lineage: Eukaryota; Metazoa; Chordata; Mammalia; Rodentia; Muridae. The record is from RNAcentral.